UCAAUUAUCAAUUAUACAUUUCAAUCUUUAUUUACACUUGUAGUUGGAAAGGUUUAUUUUAGCACAGUUUGUAGAGACUUCAGUCCGUAGUCUGCUGGUUCCGAGGCAGGGCAGCCUGGCAGAGGAGUGCACGGAGGAGAAACAGUCCAGGUGUGGAGGCAGCCGGCCCUCGCUCUUUCCCUUUUUAUUCUAUCCAGCCUACAAGCCUAUUGGUUGACGCCAUCCGCAGCCAGGGUGGGUCUUCCCUCUGCAGCAAAUCCAUCGUCCACAUCCAGAACCGUGCUAACACAAUCACUGGGCCAAUCCAUAUCACACCCAUGAUUCAGUCCCCUCCCCGAAGUCCCACCGGUGAGCCCAUGAGACUUUGGGGUUGUGACAGUCGAUUGCGCCAACUUGAAUAAGAGAAGCUCCACUCCGCUGGCUCAGCAAUUCUACACCGGUGGCCGUCACCUGGCUGUUAUAAGGGAGAAGCAAAGGACGGAGCUGCUUCUGUUUCUUCCGAGAGGCUCCAGUCUUCGCCUUCGCCUUGGACGUCAUCUCCUGGCUUCUGGCGCAGACUCUUCGGCUUCAAACUCUUCACCCUCCGUCGCAGCCCCACGGCCUCCUGAUAUGGACUCGCGUGGGACCCUGCAGCGAGCUCGACCUUCGACGGAAUCCUUGGGUCUCCAUGUGCACACAGACCCUCCGCGUUCUCCCACGUCCUGCUCCGUAGGCGGCCAUUGGAGAAGAGGCCUUGGUGACCUCACAGAGGGUGACACUGGUGCUACCCUGGUACUGGCUGCUGGGGAUGGGCCUCGGGGACGUUGGACAAUGUGAGGACAAGGUCAGUGGUCCCGAGCCGGGCAUGACGGCACACUCCUGGACCCCAGCACUCAGGAGGCUGAGGCAGGCGGGUCGCUGUGAGUUCGAGGCCAGCCUGGGCUACACACAUGAGUUCAAGACAAGUCUGGACUACAGAGUGAGACCCUGUCGCAAAACAAAACCACCCAAAAGGCCCCAGCGGCACCGACUACGAUUCCCAGGUGGGCGACCUGAGACUGAGCGUGCUGGCUCACAGCCAGGGUGAACCUGGGCACCUCCAUGCCAGGCCGUGGGCAGGGCAGCGCGCAGACCAGAAAGCCUUGUGCUCGGCUCUCCCCUGACAUCAGCCGUGAUGAACGCCCCGGUCAGACCCGAGGACACCCGGGACGCAUCUGGGCGAGGGCGAGCCAGUGCUGAGGCCUGGCACACGGGAGGGCCCAGAACCUCCGACUCCUUGCUUCCCUGCUGGGCCAUGGGCUCUGGAGGAGCUCCCCCAAACAAAAGCCUGGGACCCACCGCUGUUUCUACAACAAUGAGAGUAUUUAUUUUCUCCAGACAGUAAAAAUAACAUUUUUCUCUUCUGUAAAAGUUAAGUACCAUUACAUUCCAUUUUCUU
Fukomys damarensis (Damara mole-rat) is the source of this 1417-nucleotide long non-coding RNA. RefSeq lists it as uncharacterized. The record is from RefSeq and is a predicted model, not a curated record. The transcript is spliced from 3 exons. Lineage: Eukaryota; Metazoa; Chordata; Mammalia; Rodentia; Bathyergidae.